This 677-nucleotide ribosomal RNA is filed under the name Eudyptula albosignata (White-flippered penguin). Its description in RNAcentral is "partial 12S ribosomal RNA". It matches the Rfam family "Bacterial small subunit ribosomal RNA", at positions 526 to 1494 of the family's 1533-position model. Lineage: Eukaryota; Metazoa; Chordata; Aves; Sphenisciformes; Spheniscidae. The record is from RNAcentral.
CACAAGGACCCCAAAUUAACUGUAACACGGCGUAAAGAGUGGUACCAUGCUAUCCUAACAACUAAGAUCGAAAUACAACUAAGCCGUCAUAAGCCCAAGAUGUACCUAAGGACACCCUCAAGAUGAUCUUAGCACCCUCGACUGAUUAAAUCCCACGAAAGCUAGAACACAAACUGGGAUUAGAUACCCCACUAUGCCUAGCCCUAAAUCUUGAUACUUUCUACCACCAAAGUGUCCGCCUGAGAACUACGAGCACAAACGCUUAAAACUCUAAGGACUUGGCGGUGCCCCAAACCCACCUAGAGGAGCCUGUUCUAUAAUCGAUAACCCACGAUGCACCCAACCACUCCUUGCCAAAACAGCCUAUAUACCGCCGUCGCCAGCCCACCUCCCCUGAGAGCCUAACAGUGAGCCUAAUAGCCCUCCGCUAGCAAGACAGGUCAAGGUAUAGCCUAUGGAGUGGAAGAAAUGGGCUACAUUUUCUAAGAUAGAUACUUUCACGAAAGGGGACAUGAAACUCGUCCCUAGAAGGCGGAUUUAGCAGUAAAGCGGGAUAAUAAAGCCCUCUUUAAACCGGCCCUGAGGCACGUACAUACCGCCCGUCACCCUCCUCACAAGCUACAUGCAUAUAUAAACUAAUGCUCGCCCACAGCUGAAGACGAGGUAAGUCGUAACAA